UACGGUCACAUGACGUUGAAACACCGGUUCUCCUACGAUCAUUGAUGUUAAGCAACGUCGAGCCUGGUCAGUACCUAGAUGGGUAAACGCUUGAAAAUACUAGGUGCUGUAAG
Molecule: non-coding RNA, 113 nt
Organism: Acanthosepion pharaonis
Lineage: Eukaryota; Metazoa; Mollusca; Cephalopoda; Sepiida; Sepiidae
Source: the annotation of a GenBank genome assembly